AGGGGGCCGCAGUGAAAAGGCCCAAGCGACUGUUUAGCAAAAACACAGGUCUGUGCGAAGCCGCAAGGCGAAGUAUACGGGCUGACGCCUGCCCGGUGCUGGAAGGUUAAGGGGAGUGGUAAGCCUUUGGGCGAAGCUAUGAACCGAAGCCCCAGUAAACGGCGGCCGUAACUAUAACGGUCCUAAGGUAGCGAAAUUCCUUGUCAGGUAAAUUCUGACCCGCACGAAUGGCGUAACGACUUGGGCGCUGUCUC
RNAcentral lists this ribosomal RNA (254 nucleotides) under Paenibacillus polymyxa. Its description in RNAcentral is "partial 23S ribosomal RNA". It matches the Rfam family "Bacterial large subunit ribosomal RNA", at positions 1771 to 2022 of the family's 2925-position model. The record is from RNAcentral. Lineage: Bacteria; Bacillati; Bacillota; Bacilli; Caryophanales; Paenibacillaceae.